Micropterus salmoides (largemouth bass) is the source of this 1305-nucleotide non-coding RNA. Lineage: Eukaryota; Metazoa; Chordata; Actinopteri; Centrarchiformes; Centrarchidae. The record is from the annotation of a RefSeq genome assembly.
UUAACAUGAUGGACUAUAGGACAGGACUGCUGCUUUUAACUGUCUGCUGGGCAGGUGUUGAUGGUCAGACUCUGAAAGAAUCUGAACCAGUGGUUAAAAGGCCUGGAGAAUCCCACAGAUUGACCUGUACAACUUCUGGGUUCGCACUCAGCAGCUGGGGCAUGCACUGGAUCAGACAGGCUCCUGGAAAAGGCCUGGAGUGGGUUGCUUAUAUCAGUAGCGGUGGUAGCACUUACUAUUCUCAGUCAGUUCAAGGCCAGUUUACCAUCUCCAAAGACAACAACAGACAGCAGGUGUAUCUGCAGAUGAACAGUCUGAAGACUGAAGAUUCUGCUGUUUAUUAUUGUGCUCGAGAGCCACAGUGACUGGAGUUGGUUGAGCAGCUGUACAAAAACCUACAGGACUCAUCUUUACCACAAUCAACUCACAUGACUAAUGUCAUUAAUGUUAAAAGAUACAAUACACUUCAUCAAAAUGACUCCUCAGAGAAGACAGUGGCUGAACAAUAAAUUGUUUUUGCUAACUGUCUAACUUGUGAUUUACAAGUGUUUUUACUCUUACUAGAGUCCAGCAGAGACUGUGGAUUGAGAGAAUAAAUGGAGAAUCAAACUGUUUUCAGCUCUACACUCACUUAACUACUCAAAUUGUCUUGUGUUUUGUUUACUCUUCUUAAUUGUGAUUUAAAAUUUGCACUUUCAUGUACAUUAAUCUGACAGAUAAACCGGCAGCCUUUUUCCUGUGCACUGCAGUUGUAAAUUCUUUGCAUAUCGUCCCACAGGUUUCACUUCCUAAAUAAUUCAUGUCCUUUUGAGGCUCCAGGUUUCUCUGUAUGUCUGUGGCUUCAAACUGCCACAAUUUAUAUUGUGAAACCUUUAAAAGUAAAAAAAGAAAGAACAAUCCAGGCCCUCCACCAGCUGCAACAAACUCAAAUAUUCAAAGAUUAUCAUUUUCAAAGAAAAGGACUGGAGUGGAUUGCUCUUGUACACACAUUUAGUUCUCCAAUCUCUUACUCCCAGUCAGUCCAGGGUAGAUUCACCAUCUCCAGAGAUGACUCCAGCAGUAAAAUCUAUCUACAGAUGAACAAUCUGAAGACCGAGGACACAGCAGUGUAUUACUGUGCCAGAAGAGACAUAGUGAGAGACAAUAACAGGAGAGUCAUACAAAAACUACUUCCUCUAUUUACCACCACCACUGGGAACAUUACAUUCAGUCUGUAUAACAUUUGUUGGACUGCUGUUUUUUGUUAAUGUGUUUUUAUUCAUCUACUUAUAAAGGACAUUAAAAUCAAUCAACUAGCACUCAUCA